This 415-nucleotide ribosomal RNA is filed under the name uncultured microorganism. RNAcentral describes it as "bacterial SSU rRNA". It matches the Rfam family "Archaeal small subunit ribosomal RNA", at positions 330 to 745 of the family's 1478-position model. The record is from RNAcentral.
GCGCAGCAGGCGAGAAACCUUCGCAAUGCGGGAAACCGCGACGAGGGGACUCCCAGUGCCUACGCUCAGCGUAGGCUGUUCCCGAGCCUAGAAAGCUCGGGGAGUAAGGGCUGGGUAAGACGGGUGCCAGCCGCCGCGGUAAUACCCGCAGCCCGAGUGGUGGCCACUAUUAUUGGGCCUAAAGCGUCCGUAGCCGGCCCGGUAAAUGCCUGGGUAAAUCGUGAGGCCUAACCUCACGAAUUCCGGGUAGACUGCCGGGCUAGGGACCGGAGGAGGGAGAGGGUACUCCAGGGGUAGGGGUGAAAUCCUGUAAUCCCUGGAGGACCACCGGUGGCGAAGGCGCUCUCCUAGGACGGGUCCGACGGUGAGGGACGAAAAGCCAGGGGGAGCGAACCGGAUUAGAUACCCCGGUAGU